This 235-nucleotide ribosomal RNA is filed under the name Providencia sp. P31. RNAcentral's name for it is "partial 16S ribosomal RNA". It matches the Rfam family "Bacterial small subunit ribosomal RNA", at positions 306 to 533 of the family's 1533-position model. The record is from RNAcentral. Lineage: Bacteria; Pseudomonadati; Pseudomonadota; Gammaproteobacteria; Enterobacterales; Morganellaceae.
AGCCACACUGGAACUGAAACACGGCCCAGACUCCUACGGGAGGCAGCAGGGGGGAAUAUUGCACAAUGGGCGCAAGCCUGAUGCAGCCAUGCCGCGUGUAUGAAGAAGGCCCUAGGGUUGUAAAGUACUUUCAGUCGGGAGGAAGGCGUUGAUGCUAAUAUCAUCAGCGAUUGACGUUACCGACAGAAGAAGCACCGGCUAACUCCGUGCCAGCAGCCGCGGUAAUACGGAGGGU